This 400-nucleotide ribosomal RNA is filed under the name Burkholderia sp. Z4_80_11. RNAcentral describes it as "bacterial SSU rRNA". It matches the Rfam family "Bacterial small subunit ribosomal RNA", at positions 119 to 515 of the family's 1533-position model. The record is from RNAcentral. Lineage: Bacteria; Pseudomonadati; Pseudomonadota; Betaproteobacteria; Burkholderiales; Burkholderiaceae.
CGGAACGUGUCCUGUAGUGGGGGAUAGCCCGGCGAAAGCCGGAUUAAUACCGCAUACGCUCUACGGAGGAAAGGGGGGGAUCUUAGGACCUCCCGCUACAGGGGCGGCCGAUGGCAGAUUAGCUAGUUGGUGGGGUAAAGGCCUACCAAGGCGACGAUCUGUAGCUGGUCUGAGAGGACGACCAGCCACACUGGGACUGAGACACGGCCCAGACUCCUACGGGAGGCAGCAGUGGGGAAUUUUGGACAAUGGGGGCAACCCUGAUCCAGCAAUGCCGCGUGUGUGAAGAAGGCCUUCGGGUUGUAAAGCACUUUUGUCCGGAAAGAAAACGCCGUGGUUAAUACCCGUGGCGGAUGACGGUACCGGAAGAAUAAGCACCGGCUAACUACGUGCCAGCAGC